AGCGGGGUAGAGCAGUUGGCAGCUCGCCAGGCCCAUAACCUGGAGGUCAUCGGUUCAAAUCCGAUCCCCGCAACUA
This 76-nucleotide transfer RNA is filed under the name Candidatus Falkowbacteria bacterium RIFOXYB2_FULL_34_18. RNAcentral describes it as "tRNA-Met". It matches the Rfam family "tRNA". Rfam says of the family: Transfer RNA (tRNA) molecules are approximately 80 nucleotides in length. Their secondary structure includes four short double-helical elements and three loops (D, anti-codon, and T loops). Further hydrogen bonds mediate the characteristic L-shaped molecular structure. tRNAs have two regions of fundamental functional importance: the anti-codon, which is responsible for specific mRNA codon recognition, and the 3' end, to which the tRNAs corresponding amino acid is attached (by aminoacyl-tRNA synthetases). tRNAs cope with the degeneracy of the genetic code in two manners: having more than one tRNA (with a specific anti-codon) for a particular amino acid; and 'wobble' base-pairing, i.e. permitting non-standard base-pairing at the 3rd anti-codon position. The record is from RNAcentral. Lineage: Bacteria; Candidatus Falkowiibacteriota. RNAcentral also lists the same sequence under 4 other names.